ACGCUGGCGGCGUGCUUAACACAUGCAAGUCGAACGAUGAAGCCUAGCUUGCUAGGUGGAUUAGUGGCGAACGGGUGAGUAAUACGUGAGUAACCUACCUUUAACUCUGGGAUAAGCCUGGGAAACUGGGUCUAAUACCGGAUACGACCAAUCUCCGCAUGGGGUGUUGGUGGAAAGCGUUAUGUAGUGGUUAUAGAUGGGCUCACGGCCUAUCAGCUUGUUGGUGAGGUAACGGCUCACCAAGGCGACGACGGGUAGCCGGCCUGAGAGGGUGACCGGCCACACUGGGACUGAGACACGGCCCACACUCCUACGGGAGGCAGCAGUGGGGAAUAUUGCACAAUGGGCGCAAGCCUGAUGCAGCGACGCCGCGUGAGGGAUGACGGCCUUCGGGUUGUAAACCUCUGUUAGCAGGGAAGAAGAGAGAUUGACGGUACCUGCAGAGAAAGCGCCGGCUAACUACGUGCCAGCAGCCGCGGUAAUACGUAGGGCGCGAGCGUUGUCCGGAAUUAUUGGGCGUAAAGAGCUUGUAGGCGGUUUGUCGCGUCUGCUGUGAAAGGCCGGAGCUUAACUCCGUGUAUUGCAGUGGGUACGGGCAGACUAGAGUGCAGUAGGGGAGACUGGAAUUCCUGGUGUAGCGGUGGAAUGCGCAGAUAUCAGGAGGAACACCGAAGGCGAAGGCAGGUCUCUGGGCUGUAACUGACGCUGAGAAGCGAAAGCAUGGGGAGCGAACAGGAUUAGAUACCCUGGUAGUCCAUGCCGUAAACGUUGGGCACUAGGUGUGGGGGACAUUCCACGUUUUCCGCGCCGUAGCUAACGCAUUAAGUGCCCCGCCUGGGGAGUACGGCCGCAAGGCUAAAACUCAAAGAAAUUGACGGGGGCCCGCACAAGCGGCGGAGCAUGCG
Molecule: ribosomal RNA, 905 nt
Filed under: uncultured bacterium
Lineage: Bacteria
Description: bacterial SSU rRNA
Rfam family: Bacterial small subunit ribosomal RNA
Source: RNAcentral